AUUCGUUCCAACAGGCCCGACUAGAUAGUGACGAGGACGCGGAGCAGCUCAGCCUGCUCUCAAAUGCCUCCACUACCAAACUCAUGUCUCUUCACUCCUGAAACAUUAGUCUUCCUUCAGGCUCUUCUGUGUUCACUUUCCUUGGUACUACUCUUGUCAUGGUUAUUUCGACGAUUUAAGUUCAAACAGCGUGGGAGCGAAAAAAGGGGUGAAGACUUUGUGGACCAUGCCUUAGUUCAACAUACUGAGGAGACCUGCACUUGCAACUGCCUACAACACUGCUGUGAUAUAGCUAAGACUCUCAUGCGAAACAGUGAAGACAGUGGACAGGAACAUUAUCUGUGCAAUUUACACCUCCUGCAGUCCGAGGACCCACACACCUCUGGUUCGCUCAGUGAUCGGAACAAGUCAGGACUUCACAAAUGCGACUGGAAGAGGGAAGGGAACUGGAAAGAACAUACUGAGGAGACCUGCACUUGCAACUGCCUACAACACUGCUGUGAUAUAGCUAGUGAUAUAGACAGUGGACAGGAACAUUAUCUCUGCAAUUUACACGUUCUGCAGUCCGAUGAUUAUUAUUCAGGUGGAAAAACUAGCUGGAAAAUCAUUCAAGACAGUGAAACACUUCCUCCAGCUGCUGAUCGGGAUUUCCCCUCUGAGAGGAGUGGCGAGGACAGCGUUCUGAGGAGGCUUGUGUGGAAGGUAUGGAGAUUCAUCCUCCAAAUCCCUUACACCAUAACUGGGAUGUUUCUGUGGAUGGUGUGGAGAUUCAUCCUCCAAGUCCUUUACAUCAUGACUGGGAUGUUUCUGUGGAGAAUGUUGAGCCGUAGCUCUCACACUGACAGUGAUGGACUAUCAAGGGAUCCCUCUAGAUCAGUGACCCGACCAAAGAACUGUGUUAGAACCCCAGGUGCUGUUCAGGCAGUACUCGGGGCAGUGCCUGAUCACAAACCCGCCAGUGUAAUUGAGGAGAACUACGGAGGCCUGCAAAGCAAAAGCUCAAUAGAGAUGAACUUAAGACAGAAGCAUCUGGAGUACCUUUUGGGGGCAUUCACAGUCUCCAAACAGUCCAUGAAACUGUUACCCUCUAAACCGUCCAGUCCUCCGUGGCUUUGGAGAUCGUUAGAGGACACAGAAGAGAAUCUGACUGGGGCAGAAACACCUUUCCUUAGCCAAGAAACCAGAGCCAAGUUGGAGUUCAACAUAAAAAACAAGAUCGUGCAACGGCUUUUGGGUCUCCCUGCGGUCGUGCAGCAUUCACUGGACACCUUUAUUCCCGAGGCCCCGGAGCUCAAGGUGAGCAAAGCGCUUCCAAAGCCACAGUGUGAUGUUCAGGUGAUGACCUGUGACGCCCCCCUCCUGACUGUGGAGCAGAAGUGUAAACUGAUGAGUUGUGUGAGCCAAAAACAGGAUCUCAAGACCCAAGGUUACCCUGAGAUUGUGAUGGAGUCACUCGAACCAUUUGACAUGCCUGCAUCCAUGGCAGAAGAGCUGAGGCAGAGAGACAUGACUGACCAGGCAAAGGACACAACUGACCAGGCAAAGGACACAACUGAGUCGACUCCUGCAAAGCACAAGAAGGAACGACGUAGAUCUUUAUUGAGUCAACUAAAGCGGCAUUUAAAGAAACAGCCACAAAAAGAGUGACACCCCUCUCAGCAUUUGACUGUGUAUUACAGUUUUUCUCGAUUGUUUAAGCACG
Molecule: long non-coding RNA, 1702 nt
Organism: Clupea harengus (Atlantic herring)
Lineage: Eukaryota; Metazoa; Chordata; Actinopteri; Clupeiformes; Clupeidae
Source: Ensembl